GACGAACGCUGGCGGCGUGCCUAAUACAUGCAAGUGGAACGCAUUUUAAUCACCGUAGCUUGCUACACCGAUUAAAAUGAGUCGCGAACGGGUGAGUAACGCGUAGGUAACCUACCUCAUAGCGGGGGACAACUAUUGGAAACGAUAGCUAAUACCGCAUAAGACAACUUAUCGCAUGAUAGGAUGUUAAAAGAUGCAAUUGCAUCACUAUGAGAUGGACCUGCGUUGUAUUAGCUAGUUGGUGAGGUAACGGCUCACCAAGGCUGCGAUACAUAGCCGACCUGAGAGGGUGAUCGGCCACACUGGGACUGAGACACGGCCCAGACUCCUACGGGAGGCAGCAGUAGGGAAUCUUCGGCAAUGGGGGCAACCCUGACCGAGCAACGCCGCGUGAGUGAAGAAGGUUUUCGGAUCGUAAAGCUCUGUUGUAAGCGAAGAACAGUGAUAGGAGGUGGAAAAAUCUAUCACAUGACGGUAGCUUACCAGAAAGGGACGGGCUAACUACGUGCCAGCAGCCGCGGUAAUACGUAGGUCUCGAGCGUUGUCCGGGAUUUAUUGGGCGUAAAGCGAGCGCAGGCGGUUAGAUAAGUCAGAAGUUAAAGGCUGUGGCUCAACCAUAGUACGCUUUUGAAACUGUUUAACUUGAGUGCAGAAGGGGAGAGUGGAAUUCCAUGUGUAGCGGUGAAAUGCGUAGAUAUAUGGAGGAACACCGGUGGCGAAAGCGGCUCUCUGGUCUGUCACUGACGCUGAGGCUCGAAAGCGUGGGUAGCGAACAGGAUUAGAUACCCUGGUAGUCCACGCCGUAAACGAUGAGUGCUAGGUGUUAGGCCCUUUCCGGGGCUUAGUGCCGCAGCUAACGCAUUAAGCACUCCGCCUGGGGAGUACGACCGCAAGGUUGAAACUCAAAGGAAUUGACGGGGGCCCGCACAAGCGGUGGAGCAUGUGGUUUAAUUCGAAGCAACGCGAAGAACCUUACCAGGUCUUGACAUCCCUCUGGCCGGUCUAGAGAUAGACUUUCCCUUCGGGGCAGAGGUGACAGGUGGUGCAUGGUUGUCGUCAGCUCGUGUCGUGAGAUGUUGGGUUAAGUCCCGCAACGAGCGCAACCCUUAUUGUUAGUUGCCAUCAUUCAGUUGGGCACUCUAGCGAGACUGCCGGUAAUAAACCGGAGGAAGGUGGGGAUGACGUCAAAUCAUCAUGCCCCUUAUGACCUGGGCUACACACGUGCUACAAUGGUUGGUACAACGAGUCGCAAGCCGGUGACGGCAAGCUAAUCUCUUAAAGCCGAUCUCAGUUCGGAUUGUAGGCUGCAACUCGCCUACAUGAAGUCGGAAUCGCUAGUAAUCGCGGAUCAGCACGCCGCGGUGAAUACGUUCCCGGGCCU
RNAcentral lists this ribosomal RNA (1381 nucleotides) under uncultured bacterium. RNAcentral's name for it is "bacterial SSU rRNA". It matches the Rfam family "Bacterial small subunit ribosomal RNA", at positions 28 to 1381 of the family's 1533-position model. The record is from RNAcentral.